UGUCAGUGAAUAGCCUGAUUAUCGUGGUUGA
This 31-nucleotide non-coding RNA is filed under the name Mus musculus (house mouse). The record is from RNAcentral. Lineage: Eukaryota; Metazoa; Chordata; Mammalia; Rodentia; Muridae.